GGCUGCUUUAUUUGCUGGAUUUGGAAGAACGAGUAGAAUUAAUCAGACACAAAGUUCUGACUGCAGUGACAAAGUGUGAGUGAGAAUUCUCAACGUGGACUUCCGAGUCCUGGGCCAUUAUUAGUUAUGAGAGCUUGGGCCAGUUAUUAACUUGUUUAAGCUCCCAUUUUCUCAAAGGAGAUCAUGUUAACAUCUAUUUAGGCUGCUGCGAGGACUAAAUGAAAUAAUUCAAGUGAAGUGCUGAGCACAGUGCCUGGCAUGUAAUGAGAGUUGAUAAAAGUCAGCUGUUAAUUGUUGUUUAGCAGCAACUUCCAGUUUGGUAGGAGAAGGUAAUCAGAGAGAAGGUGACAUGGAGGCAGACUGACGGGUUUGAGUUUUGGCUCUCAUUUUCUGGGCCGUCCUUUCUGGGCCUCAGUCUUCUUCUAAAAUGAAACUCAUCAUCCAUGCCUGAGGGGGCGUUGAAGCGUGAAAUGCAAGGAUGGUGGAACAUGCCCAGCACAGCACCUGGCGCUUAGUAGGCUCUUUGUCUCACUGCUUCUCCCUUUGGAGCAGGGGCUCCGUUCCACUCACCUCUACACCUUCUCAGCCAUCACAGUGCCUGGCGUGUGGACGGUCUUCGUACGUGUUUUGAACAAAUGAACAAACCAGCUCACAGAGCUACUCACCUUGAUUUUAAUUGACUGAUCGCCUAAUGAAAUACCAAGUUUUGUGGGGGAUUCAGAAGAUUAUAUCAUGACAUCCCACAACUAGAAGGACCUGCAACUAAGAUAUACAACUAUGUACCGGGGAGGUUUGGGAAAUAAAGCAGAAAAAAAAAAUCAAACAGAAGAUUAUAUCAUGAAACUCCUCCCACAGGUUCUAACAAUCUGAUUGGAGGAGACAAGAUUAAUCAACACACAUUUAAGAGUGAACACAGAAGCUAACAAAUGAAAAUGAUUAAACAUGUAUGGCACAGACUGUUCAUAAUUAAGUUCACAGUUCCUCCAACAGAGCUCAGUUCUCAAAUUCUGACACUCACAGUGUUAAUUUACAUCUGUGUUGUUUGUUGACAGUUGGCUGUUCGUCAGAUCCUGGGCGUUCCGAUGGGAAGGAGAGCACUCACCUUGCAGCAGGGACCUUGUGUCUAGACGGCAGGGCUGGGUGGGAAUCUAGCAGGCAUCAGAAGAGCGCAGGGCCCAGGGGAUGGGGUGGAGGUGCCUGGAGACAGGAAAAAAAGGAGUCAAGGAGGGGAAGCGAGAGCAGACUGAAACAACAUUCAGCCACUGCACCAUUUGGCUGUUGAUUUUUUCCUCCCUCCGAGUGUGAAUAAAGUCACAGGACCUAAAUCCGGGAGCCACCUUAAAAGCGUCUGGCCGGGAGGCUUUAUGUAAUAGCUCACGAGGCAUUCAAAUCACUGCUCACACACUUUUAGGGACAGGGCAGAAAGCCCUUCGCUACCUCGGCAGAGAGCCCGCGUCUUCAUUAGACUGUUCU
Equus asinus (donkey) is the source of this 1473-nucleotide long non-coding RNA. NCBI's taxonomy places the organism in Eukaryota, Metazoa, Chordata, Mammalia, Perissodactyla, Equidae. The record is from Ensembl.